AAACAAACAUUAAUAAUAUAUGAUUAAGUACUCGACGUGACUUAAAGAGAAUCUCAUGAGAUUCGUUUUUUUGGACAACUCUUAUAUUCAGCUUUGGAUCCGAAAUCAAACAUAGCCCUCGUAACCCCACACAAAUGAUAAUAGGAUAACAUGGAUUCCACAAACUUUUUUUUUUUUUUUUUUUUGUCAUCUGGUAAUAUUAAUAAAACAAGGUGAGAUACAACGAAAGCCGGCGGAAGACAAAAAUUUCCCCGGAGUCUAAAAACCCAAACAAGGGAAACAAAAGUCGGCGGAUAACUAGAAAUCCCCGAAGACAAAGCGAAUUCAAGAGAAAAGGAAACAAGCAUA
This 348-nucleotide long non-coding RNA is filed under the name Capsella rubella. RNAcentral describes it as "long non-coding RNA (CRUB_LNC001326)". The record is from RNAcentral. Lineage: Eukaryota; Viridiplantae; Streptophyta; Magnoliopsida; Brassicales; Brassicaceae.